AUCGGGCUGUGUUUCGUCAGCACGUUGUGAGCUAUUACUGAAGGUUGCUAGGAAACCAGCAAAGCCGUCCUCGGACGCAGAGUUCGGUGCGGAUCUGCAGAACAUCAGGACUUGGCCAGCGGGUGGUGUAGCAUGUCAGCCAUGCACUGGGAGGCCCGUCGCCGUCAGCAGGUGCUGGACCGCAGAUUAUCUGCUAGCGUUAUGCAGGCAGGCAACCAAGAUAAAAAGAAAGAAGAGUCUAUGGCACCUAUGACACCCU
This 259-nucleotide long non-coding RNA is filed under the name Sinocyclocheilus grahami. RNAcentral describes it as "lncRNA (ENSSGRG00000009482.1)". The record is from RNAcentral. Lineage: Eukaryota; Metazoa; Chordata; Actinopteri; Cypriniformes; Cyprinidae.